RNAcentral lists this long non-coding RNA (862 nucleotides) under Mytilus galloprovincialis (Mediterranean mussel). The record is from RNAcentral. Lineage: Eukaryota; Metazoa; Mollusca; Bivalvia; Mytilida; Mytilidae.
UCAAUCAAUGUCAUGAUGGUACAUGUAUAACCAUACAAUAUUAAUAUACUACUAAACCUGUUUCAAAUAAUGCAAAUAGAGUGAUUGGUGGAUUGAAAGUUGUCAUACUACGUUAAUAUAAAAUGCCUCUUUGAAUAAAUUCGAGUAAUGUACAAUAAUGAUUCUAAUCAUCUUCUUAUUACAUGUACAUAUGUAUACUCUGUAUAAGUCGUCCUUUCUUAUGAAAAACAUGAGUUAUAGUGUACAUGAUGAGCGCUCCUGGCUAAAAUUGACUUCAUAUAUUGUCUUAGCAACUAUUUUGUUUGUUCUGUCUUGUUGUAAAUAUUGUACAUAAUUGUCUUUUCUUCUCUAUACCUAUGUAUAUGGUUUAUUGAGAAUAAAGAUAUAUAGGACUUAUAACACAUUGCAUUGGUACUGAUUAAGUGAGAGCAUUUCGUACCCACCCAGUUCAAAGCCUGGCUGUGACAUAUAUUGCUACCAGAAAGUUAACCUUGCUCAAAACAAGAAUAAUUACAAUACAUACUAUUACAAUAAAACAUACGACUGGUAAAGAAGAUAAUGAUCAAUAAAGUGUCGAUUAAAAACAGGGAUAGUUGUUUUGAAGCAAGAAAGUUAAAACCGACACUGCUAUCAGCUUCUUAGCCUCUGCAUAUGUUUUAAUUCUCUCAAAUUAUAAGAUAUAAUUACUUCAAUGUUUAAAAUGAGAAUGCAUGAUGAUUUCAAUUCAACAGUAAAAAAAACUACAUAAAUGAUGUGAAAAAUACAAUUUUUAGCAUUUGUUUCAAAUAUGGCACUUCUUAGUAAUUAAAAGUGAAGGAGAUUGUUUGUAGAUUCAUAAUAUUACUAUAAAAUUUAUAAAAAA